GUGAGUGAUGGAAUUAUAGGUAUAUGCUACCACACCGUCUCUGGAUUUUAUUUUAAUGUGAUGGGUUACAUACAUAUAGUUUUAAUAAUUUCAGGUCCAUUUUAAUUUUUAAUAGCCAUUAGUGUCCAGUUUGCUUAAUCUGCUUAAAAUGUUAUUUUUAUUGUUUACUCCUACUGACUCAAGGAAAAAUUUUUUAUAUUUUUGAAAAGAUUUAUUUAUUUAUCUUAUGUCUGUGAAUACAAGGUCACUGUCUUCAGACAAAUCAGAGGAGGACACUGGAAAUCAUUACAGAUGUUGUGAGCCACCAUGUGGUUGCUGGGAACUGAACUUAAGGCCUCUAGAAGAGCAGUUGGUGCUCUUAACCUCUAAGUUAUUUUUUCAGCCCCUAUUCUUAUUUUUUUUUAUAGUUCAAGUAGUUCCAUAGUUAUAAAAUUAAAUCUCAGUCUUAUUAUUCAGUGAACUUACUUGUGAAGGACAUUAUUUCCUUCUAUAUAUCUAGAUUUUUCAGUAGCCCCAACUAAGUAAAUCUCUCUUGAUACAUUUUCAAAAUGUCCUGCAUGUUCAUCAUAAUAGUUUGCUUACUGUGUCUGUUAGUACCAGUGGGGUGUGGGGAGUUAAUUCCCUUUCAGAGCUAAUGGUGGUUUUCAACGUUACUCAUUUUUUGACCCAGCAUCCCUAUAAUGCUCAUGCUGGCUUUGACUCACAUUCCUCUUGCCUCUGAUUCUAGAGUGUUUUGUUUUUCCUUUCUUUACAUUGAUUGAUUAUUUGAUUGUUUGUAUCUGUCUGGAGGUCAGAGGACAACUGGGAGUCAGUUCUCUCUUUCCAUGAGGUGGAUUCUGCAGCUAGAAUUUAGGUUGUCAGGUUUGGAGUCACGUGUCUUUACCUGCUGAGCUAUCUUGUAUACCUAAUUUAAUGCUGAUUGCAAAAUUAAUCGUUAUUGAUACCAAAUUAAGAAUUGCAUAGUUUUCUUGUUAUAACUAAAAAUAAUUUUAUCUUGCUGAUCUUUGACUUAUGUAACCUUUUGAUUUUCUCAUAACCUGUUGUUUCUGUUCUAUCAUAGGACUUAAGAAUGUUUCAGUUUAUUUGGGAUUUCUUGACUCUCUCAAUUUAAGAUAAUAGCUCAUUCACCCUUUCCAAAGUAGUGCAGAAAUUACAUAUAUUCAAAUUUGUCUUAUUAAAGAAAUCCUUACAAUGGAAACAAAGCUUACUUCAAGUUAAUUUGCCUUUUAACCUUAAGACCCUAAAUUAUGAGUUCUUAGAUAAUUAAGAAUAUCAACUACACUGCUAUUGAUGAGUUAAGGUGAUGCCUCCCUCAUCCCCUUUACUACUAAAAAUCUAAUCUCUUUAAUCAGUUCUUGAUAACUAAUUGUUAUUUUAAAAUUUGAGAAAAGCUGUUAAACACUGAUGUAAAUUAUCAUAUGAUAACCACUGUAACAGGAAAAUAAAAUUUGCUCUGAUUGCCAUUUUACAUGUUUAACCAUCUGUCACAAGUCAGUUUUCCUAAAAAUCCACUCAGUUUUAAGUCCAGUGAUUAAUAAAUAUCCUUAUAUUUAAUGUAAAUGAGUAAAUACCUAAUAAAAAAUU
Molecule: long non-coding RNA, 1584 nt
Filed under: Mus musculus (house mouse)
Lineage: Eukaryota; Metazoa; Chordata; Mammalia; Rodentia; Muridae
Description: long non-coding RNA chr9:59813177-59814761
Source: RNAcentral